UACGUAGGGUGCGAGCGUUGCCCGGAUUUAUUGGGCGUAAAGGGCGCGUAGGCGGCUCUGCACGUCCGUUGUGAAAUCGCCCGGCUCAACUGGGCGGGGUCAGCGGAUACGGCGGAGCUUGAGCAAGCUAGAGGGCAAUGGAAUUCCCGGUGUAGUGGUGGAAUGCGCAGAUAUCAGGAGGAACACCGAUGGCGAAGGCAGAUCUCUGGGCCGUAACUGACGCUGAGGAGCGAAAGCAUGGGGAGCAAACAGGAUUAGAUACCCGGAGU
Molecule: ribosomal RNA, 269 nt
Filed under: uncultured bacterium
Lineage: Bacteria
Description: partial 16S ribosomal RNA
Rfam family: Bacterial small subunit ribosomal RNA
Source: RNAcentral